CACAUGCUCUUUGAGAAACAAUUUGCAUUUUACAUGCCAUGCUCAUGCUCAUGAGUUUGGUUUUUAUUUUCUGUUUCAAGUUUUGAAUGUUCAAAUGCACACAACAGGAUGUGGUAUCUGAGCAAUGAGUAGUCAGGCAUGCUAUCUCUCACUAAAGUGUUCAGGGCAAUCCUUCCUGUACGGAAAAACAAAACUGUACUGUAAGACCAGUUUUUAACUUCAGUUCCUAAAGAAAAGCACCAACAUCACAGCACGCCUAUGUUUUCUCCUGCCAGCUCAUAUAGGCUAAAGAACAAACAAGUAACGACCCUACGAUACAGAUGUAGUGGGGUUUUCUCAGAUGAAAUAAUUCACCUUUGUUAAAAGUGAUGAUGUCGGACACAAAUGAUGGAGGCAGCAAUUUAACGAUCUUCAUUCUCUGCUUCAUCCUGGUCGUCCUUGUUCUUCUCCUGUUGUACCUCUACAAGCGACUGAACAAUGAAACAAAGGAUGAAUAUACCAUCCAGCGGCUUGUCUUCAGUGAGGGAGGCCUUCGUGAUCGUGUGAGGCAAGGCAUUGCAGAGGUCCAGACCAGGAUAGGUGACCUGCAUAAGGUCUCAACCCCUUGAUGAAGAGCAAGCUUUGAGCAAUAAUGAAGAUGGGAAUAGUGGCAGAGAAGAAGAACGAGACGAAGAAGAAGAUGCAGGACAAGGUCAAAGGGAAAAUGAGAACAAGACAGAAGAGAAAGAAGAGGAACAUCAAGAUCAUGAUUCAUCAGACGACUAUUCCAGCAUUGACCUAAGGGAGAGAGUAAAGCAGAAUAACAGCAAUGAAGAGGAAAUGAAAGAAGAUGAACAAGAGAAACAAGAGGUGGCAAAAGAUGAAGGAAAAAGAGAUGACAAUAAACAAGAGGAAGAUGUGAAGAAUGAAGAAAGGGUUGGCUUACUUGUAGACUUGAAGGCAUUCUCUGGCAGUGCCAUUUGGUCUGAGGAGAAAAAGGAAGAGACUAAUGUGACAGCUUUGUGAAAUAUAGAAGGCUUUAGCCUAAAUAUGAGGCUCAUUAGAAGAAAAGUCUAGACUUGACGAUGUUUGUCUUGCGAUGAGUGAUUUACCUUUGUCAUUCUUAAAAACCUGAUGCAUCCAUAAUAUCCAUAAGAUAGUUUAUUAUUUUUCUUAUCCAUGGCUUAUUUUAUUAGCAUGUUUUCUGUAAUGGCUGACUUUUUUGUUAUUAGAAUAUUUUUUUCAUAAAAACUGUACAUUUACUUCAAAAUAAAUACCAUUAAAUCAUUCAUUUUGAUUUUUUUUUUAAUGCUAUGAAGCUUCAGACUAAAAUAAAGGCCUAGCGUUUAGCCAUAUUAUUCCCCAAAUGGAAACUGAAUACACGACCAUCUCUUGUUAAUGUUGAUCAGUUUAUUUGCUUGCUUUUGUGCCACACAACAUAUGAACAACGCACAAUAAAAUACAUGCAUGUAGUAUGAUAGAAUAUAAUAGGAUCAACUAUUUAUUGAUGUCAGUAAGCUAUACGGUCGAUGAAAAUAAAAACACCA
This is a long non-coding RNA of Ictalurus punctatus (channel catfish), 1526 nucleotides long. The record is from Ensembl. NCBI's taxonomy places the organism in Eukaryota, Metazoa, Chordata, Actinopteri, Siluriformes, Ictaluridae.